This 619-nucleotide ribosomal RNA is filed under the name Geitlerinema sp. GSP108-2. Its description in RNAcentral is "bacterial SSU rRNA". It matches the Rfam family "Bacterial small subunit ribosomal RNA", at positions 124 to 774 of the family's 1533-position model. The record is from RNAcentral. Lineage: Bacteria; Bacillati; Cyanobacteriota; Cyanophyceae; Geitlerinematales; Geitlerinemataceae.
AUCUACCUUCAGGACGGGGACAACAGCUGGAAACGGCUGCUAAUACCCGAUAUGCCGAAAGGUGAAANGUUNUUUCGCCUGGAGAGGAGCUCGCGUCCGAUUAGCUAGUUGGUGAGGUAAAAGCUUACCAAGGCGACGAUCGGUAGCUGGUCUGAGAGGAUGAGCAGCCACACUGGAACUGAGACACGGUCCAGACUCCUACGGGAGGCAGCAGUGGGGAAUUUUCCGCAAUGGGCGAAAGCCUGACGGAGCAACGCCGCGUGGGGGAAGAAGGUUUUUGGAUUGUAAACCCCUUUUCUCAAGGAAGAACAAAAUGACGGUACUUGAGGAAUCAGCCUCGGCUAACUCCGUGCCAGCAGCCGCGGUAAUACGGAGGAGGCAAGCGUUAUCCGGAAUUAUUGGGCGUAAAGCGUUCGUAGGCGGCUGUUCAAGUCUGCUGUCAAAGACCGAGGCUCAACCUCGGGUAGGCAGUGGAAACUGGAUAGCUAGAGGUCGGUAGGGGCAGAGGGAAUUCCCAGUGUAGCGGUGAAAUGCGUAGAUAUUGGGAAGAACACCGGUGGCGAAAGCGCUCUGCUGGGCCGAACCUGACGCUGAGGGACGAAAGCUAGGGGAGCGAAUG